RNAcentral lists this long non-coding RNA (2818 nucleotides) under Homo sapiens (human). RNAcentral describes it as "HSALNT0199811". Lineage: Eukaryota; Metazoa; Chordata; Mammalia; Primates; Hominidae. The record is from RNAcentral.
AAGAGCCUGGCACCUCCCUCCUAUCGAUUUUCUUGCUGCUUUGUCUUGCUUCCUCGCUUACCAUGUGAUCUCUGCACAUGCUGGUUCUCCUUCACCUUCACCCACAAGUGGAAACAGCCUGAGGCCCUCACCAGAAAUAGCUGCUGGUACCAUGCUUCUUGUACAGCCUACAGAACUAGGUUGGAAAAGUGAGGUCCAGAGAGGCUUAGCUGGCUGAGUGUGACUGAGAAGAAAAGGCUUGGGGCUGCAAACUCCACAGAGAUAAAGUCCACAGACAGUUUGCUCAUUUCGGAAGAAAGCUCCUGACUGAGGUUCUUUAGAUGCGUUUAACGGAGGGACAGCUGUGCAGAAGCAUCACUGUCUCACUCUUUUCCAGACUGAUCAAAUGAAGCGUCUGUCAUGUCACACAUAUGGAGUUCUCUACCAACAGCAAAGGCUAUUUAGUCAAGGUUAGAAACAAAUAUUGUGUUGGAUUUUUGCUUAUGAUAUGUUUUGGAUUUUUCUUUGAAGCUCUGAUUUGAAAGAUAUACAGAAAGAUAUGGCUUGAGGGAGGAAAUAUGAAUAUUAUCCUCAACUACUCCCAUGUUCAUACCAUCCUGAGAGUUGGAGGCAUCAUGCUGCACCUUGGGUAUCCUUGAGGAGAAAUCCUUUGGUAAAGACUCUAGUCCUAUGGAUUGGCAGAAAUUCCCAGUCUGGUGUCUGACAGCUCCUCCUGUGCACGUUUUGAAUUUACUGGGCAUGUGUCAGACUCCUGAGGGGAAGACAUCUCCUGCUCUCCAAAGAACUGAGAUUCCAUCACAACGGAUUUCAAUUGUUCGAGAAUAACAAGUAGAAUUACCUUUAUUUUAAGUUGGCUUGGCAAUUAUAAUUCAUGUUGUGCCCUAUCACAAUUAUCAAAGUGAGGAACUCCUCACAAAGUAAACAAAGGUCUUUCAAUCCAUAAAAUUAGUAUCUCAAUUCAACUUAUUUUGAGUUUAUUUAUUUUGCUUUUGAGAACAAAAUGUCUAGUGUGUAGAUAGUUAAAAAUUAAAUGCAGUAGCUAUUUAUAAUGCCUGCAUUUUUCUGCAUACCUUAUGCUAUAUAUUAGUUACAUAACUCAAAUACUCAAGUCUAAGAGUCAGAGUGUUGGAAGGGACUUGGUCUGUACUUCUGAGUCUUCUGAGCCAGCAAGGCCACACUCUUUCCCCAUCAUUGCCUUGCCAGCAGUUAUUCUAUAUCCUAUAUUCAAGUUCAUCAGAUAAAGAAACUUGAACAGUUUCUAAUGAAGGAGAGCAGGCUCAAUAUCCUGUCCCGCUUUCUAAGAGGUGAGUGUGCUAUGCAGGGUCCAGGGAUGAGAUGUAGCCUGCUUUGUACCAGAUGCCUGUCAGUCACAGAAAUAACUGCUUGCUGUUUGACUAUAUGUAUAACUGGAUGCUAUGAAGUGGAGAAUAUUUAAGAGGACCUGAAACCAUGUCUCUUCUGGGACUUAAGAGUGUGUGGGCUUCUGAGAGCAGAGGAGGUACCAAGAAAACCCCACUGCAAGGAUAGCUGUGAAAGAAAAUAACCAGGGAAUUUGCUAGGCCAAUGUCCUCAGGACCUUAAGUUAGCAGUGUGUGGGAAACAACAAAGCCUGGUAAAUAUUAAUUAAAUUGCACACCAGAAACAGAGAUAAAGAACUAUAUAUUUGCUUCAAUAAGCAAGCACCUGCAAGAUUUCUUGUUUUCUGCCUGCAUAGUAGCAUCCUAAUCGUCAACCAUCAACUGUCCCUAGUCUCCCUUUCCAGGUACCAGAAUUUCUUACUUAUAAUGCGUUAAAUCAAGUUUAGCCUAAAGUUGCCUCCUUACAUAUUUUUGAGUUCAACCUAAACUUUUCUCUGUACAUUGUGAAUUAUAACAAGUGGAGGUGUAAACAGACUGUAGCCUACACUUGUGCCAGUCACUGAGUUUUGGCCAAUCAAAUGUAGCCAACUGUUCGAACCAUGUUCAAAUAAGGCAAACACCAAGAUGUAACCAAUCCAGCUGUUUCUGUACCUCACUUUCAUUUUCUGUAUGUCACUUUCCUUUUUCUGUCCAUAAAUCUUCUUCCACCACGUGGCUGUGCUGGAGUCUCUGAGCCUACUCUGGCUUGAAGGCUGCCCAAUCCAUGACUUGUUCAUUACUCAAACUCUUUUAAUUUGUUUGAAGUGUUUCUUAUAUCAAAUGCAACUUACAUUUUCAAAUGGCAUUGGAAUACAAACUAUUUUUUCAAAUAUCUUUUAUACUAUGUUCUAAAUGCAGCCAGCCCUCUGUAUCCAAGGGGUUCCACCUCCAUGGAUUCAACCAACCAUAAAAAUGUUCAGAGAAAUCAUUCCACAAAGUUACAAAAAGCAAAAACGGAACUGGAUACACAUCAAGUAUUAUGUUUAAUCCACAAGAAUUAAGUGAUGUAUAGGCAUUAUAUUAGGUAUCAUAAAUAACCUGGAGAUGUUUUAAAGUAUAUGGAAGGAUGCACAUAGGUUGAAUGAAAAUACUAGGCCAAUUAAUAUAAGGGACUUGAGUAUUUUGUAUCUGUAGGGGAUCCUGAAACCAGUUCCCCUCAGAUAUCAAGGGACAACUUUAAUGCACAAGAUGACCCAGGAUAUAUGUCUUAUUUCUACUUUAUUAUAACAAUUAAGAAAUCAUGGCUUGGUGGCCUCUGAUCUCUUUCACAAGUUAAAAUGUGAUCCUUCAGGGCUCUACAUGAAAGGUGAUGGUGAUGUGGGUUCCUUCCCUAAUUACAGGAACAGUCUAGACUACGGUAGCCCCAGACAACUACGGAGAUGUCUAGAUAAUGCAUUUACCUAAGAAAACAUCUCAGCUCA